Molecule: ribosomal RNA, 485 nt
Filed under: uncultured bacterium
Lineage: Bacteria
Description: partial 16S ribosomal RNA
Rfam family: Bacterial small subunit ribosomal RNA
Source: RNAcentral
GAUGAACGCUAGCGACAGGCUUAACACAUGCAAGUCGAGGGGCAGCAUGACCUAGCAAUAGGUUGAUGGCUACCGGCGCACGGGUGAGUAACACGUAUCCAACCUGCCGAUUAUUCCGGGAUAGCCUUUCGAAAGAAAGAUUAAUACUGGAUAGCAUAACGAGAAGGCAUCUUCUUGAUAUUAAAGAAUUUCGAUAAUCGAUGGGGAUGCGUUCCAUUAGUUUGUUGGCGGGGUCACGGCCCACCAAGACAUCGAUGGAUAGGAGUUCUGAGAGGAAGGUCCCCCGCAUUGGAACUGCGACCCGGUCCACACUCCUACGGGAGGCAGCAGUGAGGAAUAUUGGUCAAUGGACGAGAGUCUGAACCAGCCAAGUAGCGUGAAGGAUGACUGCCCUAUGGGUUGUAAACUUCUUUUAUAUGGGAAUAAAGUGGGCCACGUGUGGCUUUUUGUCUGUACCAUACGAAUAAGGAUCGGCUAACUCCGUG